This 247-nucleotide ribosomal RNA is filed under the name Salmonella enterica subsp. enterica serovar Typhimurium. RNAcentral's name for it is "partial 23S ribosomal RNA". It matches the Rfam family "Bacterial large subunit ribosomal RNA", at positions 515 to 662 of the family's 2925-position model. The record is from RNAcentral. Lineage: Bacteria; Pseudomonadati; Pseudomonadota; Gammaproteobacteria; Enterobacterales; Enterobacteriaceae.
CGAAAAGAACCCCGGCGAGGGGAGUGAAAAAGAACCUGAAACCGUGUACGUACAAGCAGUGGGAGCCCCACCACUAAGCCAGUGGUGAACUCCACAUCCGCAUCCUUUGCUGAGGAUACGGUUAACGGAGCGAAAGCGACGUUCAACCGCAAAACAAGCAGAGGGGGCUUAGUGGUGGGGUGACUGCGUACCUUUUGUAUAAUGGGUCAGCGACUUAUAUUCUGUAGCAAGGUUAACCGAAUAGGGG